Long non-coding RNA from Acipenser ruthenus (sterlet), 1209 nucleotides. RefSeq lists it as uncharacterized. Lineage: Eukaryota; Metazoa; Chordata; Actinopteri; Acipenseriformes; Acipenseridae. The record is from RefSeq and is a predicted model, not a curated record. The transcript has 3 exons.
UCAACCUGCAUCAAACAAAGAAAGGAAGGGCCGGUCAGUGGCUGGACUUGAGUUUUAUUCCCCUUCUUCACAGAAUGCCGACAGUCUAAAAACAGUAAUAUGGACAGUGUCUGCUGAGCUUAGCUGAGAUGCGUUUACAUACCAGAGCUGUACACCUUUCAAAGCCUGAGAGGACCCGAUCUCUUUACUCCCUGUGGUACUGUCUGACAACCCUAACUCGCACAUGAUCAGAUGCAAUGGAUCCGGCGACAGAAAAGGUUGAAAACCCCUUGGCCUACUCUAUAAUAGCAGAAUGUUUGAAAAACAAAAAGGGAAACUUAACCGGCAAUUGGCGUGUGGUGAAGAUCGUGCUUUGUGCUAAACAGACAUGAGAAAAUAUCCUUUAAGAAUUGACCAAUUACUCGUGUGGCACGAAAACCAGAAGACCCUGCGGCUCUCCAGGACCGGGGAUGGCCGCCUCUGGUACCCUGGUUCAGGCUCUCGACCUCCAUCCUGCCUUUGUACUGAUGAGCAGCUCUACCUGCUGUCUGAACCCAUGUGUCUGUAGGUAGCGCAUCAAUACACCGGGUCGGCUAUAUGGACAGGGCUGGGGAGAUACCCUCUUAAACUGAUGCAGCAGCAAGGGGGAUCUAACCUUUAUUUUGUAUCAAGAGACAGUAUGAAAUCGUUCUUUUCAGUGUGGGUGGCACGUUCUCACUUGGACAUCGAUUCAUUGAUCUAAAUGGUGGCGUUUCUUAAUACCUUUGAUACAAAUCCACGCCUCUAUCACAGUAACUUUCGUGUAUUUGACAUCUUUAACAGUUAGUAAAAUGGCAGAGACAUGAAGGAGGGAGCUGCUGUACAGGGGUCUUGUGAGUACAGAGGCGUCUCAAAGGAAGAUAGGAAAAGACUGCAAAAGCAAGGGGCAGGAAAUACAGAGCUUAAUGAACUGAUACAGGGACACGUCACAGAGUUUGUCUUGGUGAAUGUGUCUUGAUUCCUUAUGUGGAUGUGGGUGGAAGAAUUCUCUUAAUAUAACCAAAUCUCUCCAGGUUUGUUGUCAUGGGCUAGAUUUUCUGAAAACCCAAUUCUGUGUGAGGACACCUGCUUUUAAAAAAUGUGAAAACACAACACUCACUGAUUGUACCGUCACUGGAAGCAUGGUCAGGUAUCGACCGUUUAAUUAUUAUUAUUAUUAUUAUUAUUAUUAUUAUUAUUAUUAUUAUUAUU